RNAcentral lists this ribosomal RNA (396 nucleotides) under uncultured bacterium. Its description in RNAcentral is "bacterial SSU rRNA". It matches the Rfam family "Bacterial small subunit ribosomal RNA", at positions 355 to 768 of the family's 1533-position model. The record is from RNAcentral.
UGGGGAAUAUUGGACAAUGGGCGAAAGCCUGAUCCAGCCAUGCCGCGUGAGUGACGAAGGCCUUAGGGUUGUAAAACUCUUUCGUCGGGGACGAUAAUGACGGUACCCGAAGAAGAAGCUCCGGCUAACUUCGUGCCAGCAGCCGCGGUAAUACGAAGGGAGCUAGCGUUGUUCGGAAUUACUGGGCGUAAAGCGCACGUAGGCGGUCGUGUAAGAUGGGGGUGAAAUCCCGGAGCUCAACUCCGGAACUGCCUUCAUGACUGCAUGGCUAGAGGAUGCGAGAGGUUGGCGGAAUUCCGAGUGUAGAGGUGAAAUUCGUAGAUAUUCGGAAGAACACCAGUGGCGAAGGCGGCCAACUGGCGCAUUUCUGACGCUGAGGUGCGAAAGCGUGGGGAG